This 767-nucleotide long non-coding RNA is filed under the name Rattus norvegicus (Norway rat). Its description in RNAcentral is "long non-coding RNA NONRATT027241". Lineage: Eukaryota; Metazoa; Chordata; Mammalia; Rodentia; Muridae. The record is from RNAcentral.
UCUCUCUUAGGCAUUGUGGAGUGCGUCCGAGCGCUGCCGCUGGCCUGUGUACUGCACGAGCUCGGAGCCGGACGCAGCCGAGCAGGGCAGCCGAUCAGACCGGGAGUGGGUGCCGAACUACUGGUCGACGUGGGCCAAUGGUUGUCCCGCGGUAAGCGCUGUCUGGAACCCUUAACAACCCUUCCGGACGUCCGCUGUGACCUAGGUAACCGCCUCCGUCGCCCGUGCAGGGACACCCUGGCUCCGCGUGCACCUGGACGGCCCCGCGCUCAGCAGUCAGCAGCGCCGCACUCUUCUGGGGGCUCUCGUGCUGUCAGAUCGAGCACCCUUCAAGGCCCCUUCACCCUUCGCUGAGCUUGUCCUCCCACCGACCACCCCAUAGCCCUAAAUCUCCAACCCAUCGCUGCCAGUGAGUUCUCCAACAAGGGAUGGGACUGGAGCUUCAGGUCCAUGAUGCUACUGGCUCUAGGGCCCAAAGCUUGGCCCAAGCUCUCUCAGUUCAAACCCCUUCUCAGGAUCUCAAGGGGUGAAACUCUGCACAUAAAUUCCCGGCAUUGGUCGGGGCAAGGCCAAGGCCAACACCAAGGCCCUGGGCUAAGGACUAGACUGUUGAUCACUGCCCUGUUUGGGGCUGGGCUAGGCUGGGCCUGGCUGGCCGCUAGAGCUGAGAAGGAACAGUGGCGCCAACAACAGCGGACAGAGGCCCUGCGCCAGGCUGCUGUGGGCCAGGGUGACUUCAGCCUACUGGACCACAAAGGCCAGCCUCG